GCACGCUUGGACGUAUUUUCGUUCUUACUUUGAAAACAUCUACGUAUGUAUACACGUUCCUGUUUCCAAUGUUAGAAUGGAACGGUUUACUUCUCGAAGACAGUCACCAUAGCGAGAAUUCUCUUCCUCGGUGCUUGAACGAAGAGGUAGAAGUACACUUAAUUGAUUGGUUAUUGUUCCUGCCUAUACCUGGCUCGCAAAGGUCUACAACCAUAAAUAAGAUCCACAAAGACACGAGUUUAUGUUGGCGGUGUAAGUCAUGCUGGAUGGUGCCCCGUUUCAAGGAUGCUCUGUGCUUGAAAAAGAUGGCCUACUUCACCAGCCUAAUGACAUAAUUCUGCCAGAUAACCGUGUCAGUCCGGUACCAAUGGAACAAUACACAUUGUACGAAUUCCAUUUC
Molecule: long non-coding RNA, 400 nt
Organism: Bombus pascuorum
Lineage: Eukaryota; Metazoa; Arthropoda; Insecta; Hymenoptera; Apidae
Exons: 2
Source: RefSeq, a predicted model, not a curated record